UCUAAGCGGGAAACCCUCCUCAAAACCAGGUCUCGCAACCAGAGCCGUGACAGACCAUCACGUCGAUAGGCCGGAGGUGGAAGUGCAGCAAUGCAUGCAGCCAACCGGUACUAAUCGCUCGAUUGGCUUGAUUUA
RNAcentral lists this ribosomal RNA (135 nucleotides) under Rhodospirillaceae bacterium. Its description in RNAcentral is "partial 23S ribosomal RNA". It matches the Rfam family "Bacterial large subunit ribosomal RNA", at positions 2780 to 2925 of the family's 2925-position model. Lineage: Bacteria; Pseudomonadati; Pseudomonadota; Alphaproteobacteria; Rhodospirillales; Rhodospirillaceae. The record is from RNAcentral.